CGCCUGAAGGAAGAAGCCAGCGCGCCUCACAGACCCCGAGGGGGCUGCGGCUCGGCGGGUGGGGUUAACCGCAACGGACGCGCUUAGCAAAGAGGAAAAUAGGCGCCGGAUGAGCGACAGUUACGGCUCGAAGCCCCGAAAGCAGCCUGGAUGAGCCAAUGACAGGUGAGCACACGCCACGCGCCACACGCGUCACUUCUGAGCCCAGGCCUCACGAGCCAGCUCAUGGCUGUCUGGGGGACGACCUGGGCCCAUGCAUGAAGAUGCAGAGCAGAGCCCAGGUGACCAGCGUUGGACAGGGCACCCGGGUGCGUCUGACCCCUUCUGCGAACCACCAAGACUCGGGCUCACUUGAGCAUCAGGCCUACUCACGUGUGGGUCCACGGGUGCCUUGCGCUAACCCUCGGCCUGCAGGCUGCAUCUGCAAACGUCCAGGGAAUGCCUCGCCUUUGGACUGGAGCCCACUUCUCAUCCAGAACGUUUCUUCUCACGUACUGGGGAUGGAUUCAUACCCUAGAAACUCUCCUUUGGAAAAACUAGGACUGGGGGCAGGCGCUGUCGCCCACAACGCCGGCAUCCCCUGGGGGCGCCACUUCCUGUCCCAGCUGCUCCACUUCCAGUCCAGCUCCCUGCUGAUGGCCUGGGAGAAGCAGUGGAAGAUGGCCCGAGUGCCUGGGCCCCUGCACCCACGUGGGAGACCUGGAUGAAGCUCCUGUCUCCUGGCUCCAGCCUGGCCCAGCCCUGGCCAUCACUGCCAUCUGCGGAGUGAACCGGUGGACGGAAGACCUCUCUCUCUUGCUCUCUCUCGGUCUCUGUCUCUCUGCCUGUAACUCAGACUUUCAAAUAAAUAAAAAAAGAAAAGAAAAA
Oryctolagus cuniculus (rabbit) is the source of this 867-nucleotide long non-coding RNA. RefSeq lists it as uncharacterized. The record is from RefSeq and is a predicted model, not a curated record. NCBI's taxonomy places the organism in Eukaryota, Metazoa, Chordata, Mammalia, Lagomorpha, Leporidae.